AUUGAACGCUGGCGGCAUGCCUUACACAUGCAAGUCGAACGGUAACAGGUCUUCGGAUGCUGACGAGUGGCGAACGGGUGAGUAAUGCAUCGGAACGUGCCCAGAUGUGGGGGAUAACUGCUCGAAAGAGCAGCUAAUACCGCAUACGACCUGAGGGUGAAAGCGGGGGAUCGCAAGACCUCGCGCAAUUGGAGCGGCCGAUGUCAGAUUAGGUAGUUGGUGGGGUAAAGGCCUACCAAGCCGACGAUCUGUAGUUGGUCUGAGAGGACGACCAGCCACACUGGGACUGAGACACGGACCAGCCUCCUACGGGAGGCAGCAGUGGGGAAUUUUGGACAAUGGGCGCAAGCAUGAUCCAGCAAUGCCGCGUGCAGGAAGAAGGCCUUCGGGUUGUAAACUGCUUUUGUCAGGGAAGAAAUCCUCUGGGUUAAUACCCCGGGGGGAUGACGGUACCUGAAGAAUAAGCACCGGCUAACUACGUGCCAGCCGCCGCAGUAA
RNAcentral lists this ribosomal RNA (498 nucleotides) under uncultured bacterium. RNAcentral's name for it is "partial 16S ribosomal RNA". It matches the Rfam family "Bacterial small subunit ribosomal RNA", at positions 30 to 523 of the family's 1533-position model. The record is from RNAcentral.